AUGCGAGGCCCGCGCCGCUCCUCUCCUCGCCCUGGCAAACCCAGUGCCAGGCUGGGAAACCGCAAAGUGCCGGAGAAAGAGCCCCGCAGGGACGUGCGGAAAAGGGGAGAUUUUCAGCCCGACGCCAUCCCAGCCUCGUAUCCCCUUCCUGAGCAUCGCCGCCUCUCACAAGGUGUCGGAGCCGCGUGGGGAAGCUGCUGCGUCCUUAAAAGCUGGAGGCUGCUCCGCGCCAGGUAUCAAAUGAAAAGAAUUGCCAUGAAUGCUAAUGGCCGGGGAAGCGCCUCGCUCGCUCGGGAGGACGCUGCGGGGCCGGGAGCCGCGGGCACAGCCCGGAUUUUGCAGGCAGGAGCCGGCCGUGCAGAGGGCGAUGCGACUGCGGAUACCCUGGCACACGGCUCCUGGACCAGCGUGUGCUGAGCUGCCACACCAAAACCAUUCCUUUUGCAGCAAAGCAGAGCCGGGGGGAUGCGUUGUCCCCUCCCAGGUCCCCGUGAUGACUUUUGCAGCACACCCAGGGCUCGGAGCAUGCAAGCCCCACGUAUAACCAGGUCCUUGCAGGCGGCGGCGAAGGGCUGUGCCAGGCUGAGCUGUUUGUAAAUGUAGCCGGUCUGGUAAGCAGGAGGGUAAACACGGAUGAAUAGCCUUCAUCCACUCCAGUAAAUAUUUUAUAUCACACACCAAGAAAAAACACUCCUAUUUAAAUGAUUUAUAAAGGAAGAUCAUGUAGAGGUUUCUAUAAAAUAUGUAGGGCUCCUAAUCCCGACAUCAUCAAGCAAAGAGGACUGAAAUCAUAUAUUACCUUUUCAACAGCCUUGCAGGCUGCAGGGAUACAACUGACAAAUAAAAGUGUGUUUACAGCUUUUGGGCUCCUCCGGGGAGAGGUAAAUCACAGCGGGGGUGGGGAAGGGGAAAGGAAGCCGGAAAUUAAGAGGCAAUUUCUGUCCGUCACAGGGCGCGGGGCAGAGGGACACCGGGAUCGCUGCGCCCCCGGAUCGCUGCGCCCCGGCAUCCCCAGUCCUGACCAGUUCAUCCCCAGUUCAUCCCCAGAAGGAUAAACACAAUCUGCAACCCCCUCCAGGGCACCCAGCGCAGCACCUCAGCUCAAAGCAAGCGAGACCAUGCCCUGCUCCCUUGGCAGCAGGACUAGCCCGACUGCAGCCGUCAGGGAUGGAUUCUACCCGGGCACCAGCAGACCCAGGAUGCGUCCCACGGGGACACGUCCCUUUUAACCUUGGGCCCUCUCCUCUCUCCCCCACACCUCCGCAGGAUGCUCCCCAUCUCCCCACCUCUCCCCUUCCUCGCUUUGGGCUCGUUUGGCUGCCAGCUGCACCCCGGAGCGCCCCGGUUCCCGUGGG
RNAcentral lists this long non-coding RNA (1355 nucleotides) under Cairina moschata (Muscovy duck). RNAcentral describes it as "domestica (muscovy Duck (domestic type)) lncRNA (ENSCMMG00000003367.1)". Lineage: Eukaryota; Metazoa; Chordata; Aves; Anseriformes; Anatidae. The record is from RNAcentral.